Molecule: ribosomal RNA, 497 nt
Filed under: uncultured bacterium
Lineage: Bacteria
Description: partial 16S ribosomal RNA
Rfam family: Bacterial small subunit ribosomal RNA
Source: RNAcentral
GACGAACGCUGGCGGCAUGCCUAAUACAUGCAAGUCGAACGCUGAAGCACUCUGCUUGCAGAGUGCGGAUGAGUGGCGAACGGGUGAGUAACACGUGGGAAAUCUGCCUAAAAGUGGGGGAUAACAUUCGGAAACGGAUGCUAAUACCGCAUACAUUCUUGAACCGCAUGGUUCUUGAAAGAAAGACGGCUCUGCUGUCGCUUUUAGAUGAUCCCGCGGCGUAUUAGUUAGUUGGUGGGUUAAAGGCCUACCAAGACCAUGAUACGUAGCCGACCUGAGAGGGUGAUCGGCCACACUGGGACUGAGACACGGCCCAGACUCCUACGGGAGGCAGCAGUAGGGAAUCUUCCACAAUGGGUGCAAACCUGAUGGAGCAAUGCCGCGUGAAUGAAGAAGGUCUUCGGAUCGUAAAGUUCUGUUAUUAGAGAAGAACAAGUCGAGGAGUAACUGUCUCGACUUUGACGGUACCUAACCAGAAAGACACGGCUAACUACGUG